AAGUCGUAACAAGGUUUCCGUAGGUGAACCUGCGGAAGGAUCAUUACCGAAUUUCAGGCUGAAAGAUGUCUAAAUUCCACACCAUGUUUUAAGCUGAAGACGCAAGUCGGAUGCGAACACAUUUUAUUCCUUGAAUAAAUCAAAACUUUCAACAACGGAUCUCUUGGUUCUG
Molecule: unclassified non-coding RNA, 172 nt
Filed under: fungal sp.
Lineage: Eukaryota; Fungi
Description: partial internal transcribed spacer region
Rfam family: Eukaryotic small subunit ribosomal RNA (bases 1-46)
Source: RNAcentral